UACGUAUGGGGCUAGCGUUGUUCGGAAUUAUUGGGCGUAAAGGGCGUUUAGGUGGGGAAUUAAGUUAGGUGUGAAAUCCAUGGGCUCAACCCGUGAAUUGCAUCUAAAACUGAUUCUCUUGAGUUCGGGAGAGGAGAGCGGAAUUCCAGGUGUAGCGGUGAAAUGCGUAGAUAUCUGGAAGAACACCAGUGGCGAAGGCGGCUCUCUGGCCUAGGACUGACACUGACGCGCGAAAGCGUGGGGAGCGAACAGG
This 253-nucleotide ribosomal RNA is filed under the name uncultured bacterium. Its description in RNAcentral is "partial 16S ribosomal RNA". It matches the Rfam family "Bacterial small subunit ribosomal RNA", at positions 524 to 776 of the family's 1533-position model. The record is from RNAcentral.